CAAUUCAAGCAGAAGCGCGCCAUCUUCUUGAAGUAACUUUGCCUGAGCUUCCUAAACCUGAAUUGCCUGAAAUCCCAACUUUGCCUAAGCUUGAAUUCCCUGAAAUUCCAAAACCGGAGCUGCCAACUCUGCCACAACCUGAAUUGCCUGAAUUCCCAAAGCCUGAACUGCCUACUCUGCCAAUGCCUGAACUCCCCCCGAUGCCAAAACUUGGGUUUCCUACAAUUCCUAAACCUGAACUCCCAACUUUGUCAAAGCCAGCAAUGGCUCAGAAGCCUUGAGUCAAUUAUCCUCUUUGCUAGCUCAUGAUUGAAGCAGCGUCGUUGAUCAAUGUUAUAGUACUUCCCAUGUGUCAUGUGUUUUUCUUUUGUUGUGCUGGAAUUGUUUGCAGCUUCCCUUUGGAAGGAUUAUCUAUGUGAUAUUUCUAUCAUCAGUCGUUUGUGUUUCUACUGGCAUUAAAUACAGUAUAC
Molecule: long non-coding RNA, 470 nt
Filed under: Nicotiana tabacum (common tobacco)
Lineage: Eukaryota; Viridiplantae; Streptophyta; Magnoliopsida; Solanales; Solanaceae
Description: long non-coding RNA (NTAB_LNC003306)
Source: RNAcentral